UCUCGAUGAUUGGUAAAAAUUAUAAAUAAUAAUAUGAAAAAACAUACGCGCGUGAAGUUAGCCUAUCCUUUUGUAAAAUAUGGCUUUCCAGACUACUAAUCAUACUGGCCAUCUUCGCGUCCCAUCUCUCUCAUUUUUGUCGACCAAUUUUACAUACGGAUGACGUAUCUCAAUAUCUUUGGAUUUUGCGAUAAAAACAACGAUAGGAACAACUAUUUUCAAGUUGAUUCAACAACCGCGUUCCGUCCAGAUCGAGAGUCCAAUUUAGAUGAAUAUUAUAAAGUUUGAAGGUUGCUCGCUUUGAUAAACUCCCGGGGGAGCCCGACGCCGAUGAAUGAAGUCACUCGGGGGGACGGACGGGAAGAUCUCCCUCUUGUCUCAAGUGUGGUAAAUUAGUUGCAACCGCUCUCUCGCGAUAAAAAUGAGAGUGGAAAUACAAGUGCAUCGGAUCAUUUAAACCCCCUGACAGUUUUAUUUAUUUAUUUUUUUUUCGACAGAGAAUGUACAUCGCAAGAAUUGUGAACGUGUGCGUUAAUAAUGAAGACGUCGUCGUGCCAGCGCGAUGCAAAAGUAUUUUAUAAAUGUACAUUUCAACUUGUUGCCAAGGAUACAGGUUAAACCUUGAAAACUCGGUCACCUCGAUUCCUCGAGGAGGAGUCGUUGAUAGUUGAUAGUUGUACUACUACGAAACACGAUAGUAAUACAAACGAAAUAGUGACAAAAACAAAAUUUAAAAAAGGCUAUAAUCUAACCAGAAAUGAUUACAUUUACUUAUGCUAUAUACAUCUCGAGGAAUAAAUCGCUGACAUCGCAAAAAUUUGUGUAUUAAAUUAAUUUAUAAAAAAUUUCGUGAUUAAAACAUUAAGAUGAUAUAAAUCUCGUUUUCAUUAUACUAUUCAACUAAUAAUAUUCGUGACAACGAAUAUUUAAGGCUUUUAUGAUACCACAAAACGAAUCCGCUUAAUGAGGAGUUACGGGCGUUGAUCAGGAAUUUCUUGCGCGCGCAAAACGGCGUGUACACGCAUGCUUAAGCGCGAUGUACACAUCAAGUCCACGUCGUUACGCGCGGCGACACAUAUGCGAGGAUAUUCCCGUCCCCGCCUUCCCCCUGAGAGGAUAUUCCGCGUGCACAGACCGCACUGUUUAUCAAGUAAUGCAACUCGACGCCUUUUCAAGUAGCGUGUUAUGACACUUGAAAUAUCGGCUAGUCAUUACAAAUAGAGGCGAUAAACAAAUGAAAUCCGAUGACUAGCGGCAGCGAUGCCCAGCAAUGCGGAUCCGAGCGAUUGGCGUUAACUUUAUUCCACUUCCUCGUUUCACCGUGCUAUAAUUGAGCGGAGCUAACGAGUGCUUAGGCCGUGGCAAUUAAAAUCGAGGUUCCACCACUUUGUCGGCGAGCGAACGUAAAUCUAUUACUAACUACUGACUUCGGCAGCCAUGUGUAUAAUCGUAAAAUGAGUCUACUACAUGACAUUGAGUAAACCUGACUUCGUUAUGCGUAAAUAAUUAUUAUUGCAUAUAUGUACACGAUUGUUUGAUUUUUCGCCAAAAUGUAUUCGUUGAAAUAUAUAUUUUAUAAUAUU
Molecule: long non-coding RNA, 1583 nt
Organism: Wasmannia auropunctata (little fire ant)
Lineage: Eukaryota; Metazoa; Arthropoda; Insecta; Hymenoptera; Formicidae
Exons: 6
Source: RefSeq, a predicted model, not a curated record